GUAGUCAAAGAUCUGCCUGCUUUUGCCUCCCCAAUGCUUGGAUCAAAGUCAUGUGUCUGUCACGCGAAUGUUACAAGACAGAAGGUGAAAGCCAAGUAUUGGAGAUGGAAUGAAGUUUGAGAAAAGAUGGAAAGAAGAGCCACACAACCAGAAUGACUCUUCCUUGGUCAUCCACUAUGCAUCAUUAGUAAAGGGAGAAAUGCAUGGGUAAUUGAAGAGCUAAUCAACAACUACC
Long non-coding RNA from Mesocricetus auratus (golden hamster), 235 nucleotides. RefSeq lists it as uncharacterized. The transcript has 3 exons. The record is from RefSeq and is a predicted model, not a curated record. NCBI's taxonomy places the organism in Eukaryota, Metazoa, Chordata, Mammalia, Rodentia, Cricetidae.